AUACAUUCCCCUAAAAAAUGGUCAAUUCGAGCUAGGCUAGCACCAGAUUGGAGAUGCCUUAUCUGAAAAAGGCACCUUUUGCACGAGGAAUGGGGAUGAGAUGAUGCCCUUUAACAAAGACAGGCACAGAGAGAAAGAGAUCUUGAAAGAUGGGAUUCUUAAAUCUUGAAUUUUCCAUCUUUUCCUAACAUGUCGGGCUACAGAAUUUGCCUCCAUGCAGAUUGCUUGCUUUCCUAGACCCC
Molecule: unclassified non-coding RNA, 242 nt
Filed under: Hevea brasiliensis (rubber tree)
Lineage: Eukaryota; Viridiplantae; Streptophyta; Magnoliopsida; Malpighiales; Euphorbiaceae
Source: RNAcentral